GGGCCCGCACAAGCGGUGGAGCAUGUGGUUUAAUUCGAUGAUACGCGAGGAACCUUACCAGGGCUUAAAUGUAAGUUGCAUUAGUUAGAGAUAGCUAUUUCUUCGGACUACUUACAAGGUGCUGCAUGGUUGUCGUCAGCUCGUGCCGUGAGGUGUCAGGUUAAGUCCUAUAACGAGCGCAACCCCUGUUGUUAGUUGCCAUCGAGUCAUGUCGGGAACUCUAACAAGACUGCCGGUGCAAACCGUGAGGAAGGUGGGGAUGACGUCAAAUCAUCACGGCCCUUACGUCCUGGGCUACACACGUGCUACAAUGGCCGGUACAGAGAGCAGCCACUACGCGAGUAGGCGCGAAUCUUCAAAGCCGGUCUCAGUUCGGAUCGGAGUCUGCAACUCGACUCCGUGAAGUCGGAAUUGCUAGUAAUCGC
RNAcentral lists this ribosomal RNA (425 nucleotides) under uncultured bacterium. Its description in RNAcentral is "bacterial SSU rRNA". It matches the Rfam family "Bacterial small subunit ribosomal RNA", at positions 917 to 1345 of the family's 1533-position model. The record is from RNAcentral.